ACAGCGCAUGCGCGUUAGGCUGCUGCCUGCGGGGAAAAUGGUGCUCGUCAAGGAAUUCCGCGUGGUCCUGCCGUGCUCGGUGCAGGAGUACCAGGUCGGACAGCUCUACUCCGUGGCCGAAGCCAGCAAAAACGAGACGGGAGGCGGAGAAGGCAUCCAGGUCUUGACCAACGAGCCUUACGAGAAGGAUGGGGAGAAGGGCCAGUACACACACAAGAUCUACCACCUGAAGAGCAAAGUGCCUGGCUUUGUACGGAUGUUCGCUCCAGAAGGCUCCCUAGUAUUUCACGAAAAAGCCUGGAAUGCAUAUCCUUAUUGUAGAACAGUCGUUACAAAUGAAUACAUGAAAGAGGAUUUUUUUAUCAAAAUUGAGACUUGGCAUAAGGCUGACUUGGGCACAUCAGACAAUGUCCAUGACUUGGAUCCCAAUACAUGGAAAAACGUGGAAGUUGUUCAUAUCGAUAUAGCAGACAGAAACCAAGUGGAGCCUGGAGACUACAAAGCUGAUGAAGACCCUGCAUUGUUCCAGUCGGUCAAAACUAAAAGAGGCCCUUUGGGGACGGACUGGAAGAAGGAGUUGGCAGCGGCUGAAGAUUGUCCCAAGAUGUGUGCUUACAAGCUGGUGACCAUCAAGUUUAAGUGGUGGGGAUUGCAGAAUAAAAUUGAGAAUUUCAUUCAGAAGCAAGAAAAGAGGAUAUUCACCAACUUCCAUCGGCAGCUUUUCUGCUGGAUCGACCGAUGGAUCGACCUGACGAUGGAAGACAUCCGGCGAAUGGAGGAUGAAACCCAAAGAGAGCUGGAGGCGAUGCGUAAGAAGGGUUGUGUUCGAGGAACAUUGGCUGCCAGCGCCUAGAGGAAGCCCUCGGUAGGGUCAGAGGCAGGCAAAUAAUCCCACUAUAGCACAUCCGUUGUAGUCUAGACGGGUUUUCUCAGGCUGGCCCCGGCAGAAGUUCCAGGACAGCCUCUUCCUAAAUAUUUGCGCAAUCAAGGAGAAGUGAGAGGAACAAGUGCGGCGAAUGAUGAAUGAAGAAAAGCAUCUUGUGCGUCUGGUGUCACAAUCCACCCUUGGGGUGCGAGUGGGUGCACAGUUCUUUACACGUUUGUACAUGCAUGCACACAGAAACAUGUACACAUACACACUGGGUGCACACUUGUACUGAGCUGCUGCUCCAAGGCACCGGGAUCUCCCCAAGAGGCCCUGCCUUUGUGCUGUAUAUCCAAAGCUAAUUAAACCCACCUAGUGUCAAUUAAUGGAAGAAGAGAAUGAAUUAUAUCAAUUGGAACAUUUUGAAACUACAGAUGCCGGACCAAUUUACUUUUAUCUUUUAUAAUAUACACGAGAGAUUCUCCUUGCUCAGGCUCAGUUAUCUCUGUUUAGAUUAUUAGACGAGCAUCAGCAAUUAAUUUUUCCAAUUUGUGUGGUUCAUUCAUGAUUUGGUAUAGACCUUCUGAAUGUAUUUAAAGAUAUUUAUUUCUGAAUUAUCAUUUUCUUGAAAUCGGAUCACUAGCAAGGAUCAAUUUCUUGCUAUUGAGUUUUGUUUUGUUUUGUUUUUUACAAAAAAAAUUUUUUUCAUCCAUUUGCUGCAAAGAGAUCUAUUUUAUUGGAUUUUUGUAUAUAAAGAGUCAAGGGUUUCUUCGUUAGAAUUGGCAAAAAAAAAAAAAAAGCUUGUCUGUAAAAAGGGAACACACGGGAAUAUGAAUCUUUGUUUUUUAGAACUGUUCAUGGACUCAGUUCAGUCUGAAGGACUCAGCCUCAUAAUGCUCUGUUCAGAAUGUUCCUAGGUCUUCCGCUGUGUCGUCCCAAGAAACUGCAUAAGCUCUGUUUUGCAUCAACUAUAGGAAAAGUUGACAUUUAUCCAGUACCCUUUGGAAACGUGAUAUCCUGACUUGGAAAACCUUCAACAGAUUUCUUAAAGAAGAGAGGAUCCUGGCAGCAACGUAUUCCAGGCCUAGUUAAGUGGGAGGGCGGUCAGUUUGGCUUGCCCCACAGGGGAUCUACGGGCCCUGAGGCUCCAAGGGCCAAUGCAAGGGCCCUUUAUCCAUCCAUUUUCUGGAAGUGAGGCUCGUGUGUGCCUGAAUUUGAUGGCUCAGCUUCUCUAGCUCCGGCCGCAAAGGAAGGAUUGCACGUUCCCCCAUUGGAGAAUUGGCUUUGUAAAUACAUAUUUGUAGAGGUUGAUCAUUUAGGCUGCUGCUAAUUCAAGGGCUUGCUGUCUUUAGUGCAGGAAUCUGCUCCCGUCAGUACCAAGGAGAGCACCGAAUGCCAGGCUCUGCCUCAUUCGGGGCAGGAUUAGAUGUGAACAUUUGAGAGGACGUUUUGUAGUGAAUGUAAAAUGAUUACUUCUGCAGUUUCUAGUUUUAACUGCAUUAAGAAAAUUUAAAUAAAUUUCCUUAUAAAACAUC
RNA transcript from Ahaetulla prasina, 2400 nucleotides. It is a transcript of the gene named phosphatidylinositol transfer protein beta, with no coding region annotated. NCBI's taxonomy places the organism in Eukaryota, Metazoa, Chordata, Lepidosauria, Squamata, Colubridae. The record is from RefSeq and is a predicted model, not a curated record. The transcript has 13 exons.